RNAcentral lists this ribosomal RNA (672 nucleotides) under uncultured bacterium. RNAcentral's name for it is "bacterial SSU rRNA". It matches the Rfam family "Bacterial small subunit ribosomal RNA", at positions 60 to 699 of the family's 1533-position model. The record is from RNAcentral.
AGUCGAACGGGAAGAGAUGAAGAGCUUGCUCUUUAUCGAAUCCAGUGGCAAACGGGUGAGUAACACGUAAACAACCUGCCUUCAGGAUGGGGACAACAGACGGAAACGACUGCUAAUACCGAAUACGUUCCACGGGCCGCAUGACCUGUGGAAGAAAGGGUAGCCUCUACCUGUAAGCUAUCGCCUGAAGAGGGGUUUGCGUCUGAUUAGGCAGUUGGUGAGGUAACGGCUCACCAAACCAACGAUCAGUAGCCGGUCUGAGAGGAUGAACGGCCACACUGGAACUGAGACACGGUCCAGACUCCUACGGGAGGCAGCAGUGGGGAAUCUUCCGCAAUGGACGAAAGUCUGACGGAGCAACGCCGCGUGAGUGAAGACGGCCUUCGGGUUGUAAAGCUCUGUGAUCCGGGACGAAAGAGCCUGAGGUAAAUAGCCUGAGGAAGUGACGGUACCGGAAAAGCAAGCCACGGCUAACUACGUGCCAGCAGCCGCGGUAAUACGUAGGUGGCAAGCGUUGUCCGGAAUUAUUGGGCGUAAAGCGCGCGCAGGCGGCUUACUAAGUCCAUCUUAAAAGUGCGGGGCUUAACCCCGUGAUGGGAUGGAAACUGGAAAGCUGGAGUAUCGGAGAGGAAAGUGGAAUUCCUAGUGUAGCGGUGAAAUGCGUAGAGAUUA